RNAcentral lists this ribosomal RNA (905 nucleotides) under Topeliopsis muscigena. RNAcentral describes it as "eukaryotic LSU rRNA". It matches the Rfam family "Eukaryotic large subunit ribosomal RNA", at positions 167 to 1093 of the family's 3401-position model. Lineage: Eukaryota; Fungi; Ascomycota; Lecanoromycetes; Ostropales; Graphidaceae. The record is from RNAcentral.
GGUGCGGCGGGGGUCCAAAUUCCUUGGAACAGGGUGUCAUAGAGGGUGAGAACCCCGUAAAUGACCAACCGCCAACCCCAUGUGAAGCCCUUUCGACGAGUCGAGUUGUUUGGGAAUGCAGCUCUAAAUGGGUGGUAAAUUUCAUCUAAGGCUAAAUACCUGCCAGAGACCGAUAGCGCACAAGUAGAGUGAUCGAAAGAUGAAAAGCACUUUGAAAAGAGAGUCAAACAGUACGUGAAAUUGUUAAAAGGGAAGCGCUUGCAACCAGACUCGCUCGCGGGUGUUCAGCCGUCCCCCGGGACGGUGCAUUCUCCCGCGAUCGGGCCAGCAUCGGUUUUGGCGGCCGGACAAAGGCCCUGGGAACGUAGCUCUCUUCGGGGAGUGUUAUAGCCCGGGGUGCAAUGCGGCCCGCCGGGACCGAGGACCGCGCUUUUGCUAGGAUGCUGGCUUAAUGGUUGCCAGCGACCCGUCUUGAAACACGGACCAAGGAGUCGACCUACCGCGCGAGUGUUUGGGCGUUAAACCCAUGCGCGUAAUGAAAGUGAACGGAGGUGGGAGCCUUCGCGGGUGCACCAUCGACCGAUCCUGAUGUCUUCGGAUGGAUUUGAGUAUGAGCGCCGUGGGUCGGACCCGAAAGAUGGUGAACUAUACGUGAAUAGGGUGAAGCCAGAGGAAACUCUGGUGGAGGCUCGCAGCGGUUCUGACGUGCAAAUCGAUCGUCAAAUUUGCGUAUAGGGGCGAAAGACUAAUCGAACUAUCUAGUAGCUGGUUCCUGUCGAAGUUUCCCUCAGGAUAGCAGUAACGAAAACAGUCUCAUGAGGUAGAGCAACGAUUAGAGGCCUUGGGGUUGAAACAACCUUAACCUAUUGUCGAACUUCGAAUAUGUGAGAAGUCCUUGUUGCUUA